GUCUGAGAGGAUGAUCAGCCACACUGGAACUUAGACACGGUCCAGACUCCUACGGGAGGCAGCAGUGGGGAAUAUUGGACAAUGGGGGCAACCCUGAUCCAGCAAUGCCGCGUGCGUGAUGAAGGCCUUAGGGUUGUAAAGCGCUUUCGGCGGGGAAGAUGAUGACGGUACCCGCAGAAGAAGCCCCGGCUAACUCCGUGCCAGCAGCCGCGGUAAUACGGAGGGGGCUAGCGUUGUUCGGAAUUACUGGGCGUAAAGGGCGCGUAGGCGGCGAUUUAAGUUAGGCGUGAAAGCCCCGGGCUUAACCUGGGAACUGCGCUUGAUACUGGAUUGCUUGAGGACGGAAG
Molecule: ribosomal RNA, 347 nt
Filed under: uncultured Oceanibaculum sp.
Lineage: Bacteria; Pseudomonadati; Pseudomonadota; Alphaproteobacteria; Rhodospirillales; Oceanibaculaceae
Description: bacterial SSU rRNA
Rfam family: Bacterial small subunit ribosomal RNA
Source: RNAcentral